UACGUAGGGGGCAAGCGUUGUCCGGAUUAUUGGCGUAAAGAGCGUGUAAGGCGGUUAGGUAGGUCCGUUGUGAAAACUCGAGGCUCAACCUCGAAGACCGGCCGAUUGGAAACCAUCGUGACUAGAGUCCGGAAGAGGAGAGUGGAAUUCCGUGGUGGUAAGCGGUGAAAUGCGCAGAUAAUCAGGAAGAACACCCGUGGCUAAGGCGGG
RNAcentral lists this ribosomal RNA (210 nucleotides) under uncultured bacterium. Its description in RNAcentral is "partial 16S ribosomal RNA". It matches the Rfam family "Bacterial small subunit ribosomal RNA", at positions 524 to 725 of the family's 1533-position model. The record is from RNAcentral.